Molecule: ribosomal RNA, 257 nt
Filed under: uncultured prokaryote
Description: partial 16S ribosomal RNA
Rfam family: Bacterial small subunit ribosomal RNA
Source: RNAcentral
UACGUAGGGGACAAGCGUUGUCCGGAAUCACUGGGCGUAAAGGGCGCGCAGGCGGUGAUUUAAGCAGGAUGUGAAAGGCUACGGCUCAACCGUAGACAUGCACCCUGAACUGGGUCACUUGAGUAUUGGAGAGGCAGGCAGAAUUCCUGGUGUAGCGGUGAAAUGCGUAGAUAUCAGGAGGAAUACCGGAGGCGAAGGCGGCCUGCUGGACAAAUACUGACGCUGAGGCGCGAAAGCGUGGGGAGCAAACAGGAUUA